This 235-nucleotide ribosomal RNA is filed under the name uncultured Eubacteriales bacterium. RNAcentral describes it as "uncultured Clostridiales bacterium partial 16S ribosomal RNA". It matches the Rfam family "Bacterial small subunit ribosomal RNA", at positions 99 to 334 of the family's 1533-position model. The record is from RNAcentral. Lineage: Bacteria; Bacillati; Bacillota; Clostridia; Eubacteriales.
CGAACGGGUGAGUAACGCGUGAGCAACCUGCCUAUGACAGUGGGAUAGCCUCGGGAAACCGGGAUUAAUACCGCAUAAAAUCGUAGAAACACAUGUUUUAACGGUCAAAGAUUUAUCGGCCAUAGAUGGGCUCGCGUCUGAUUAGCUAGUUGGUGAGAUAACAGCCCACCAAGGCGACGAUCAGUAGCCGGUCUGAGAGGAUGAACGGCCACAUUGGAACUGAGACACGGUCCAA